GUCUUCUUCCGCAGCACACAUGCCGAAACCUGGACGACACAGAGCAGAUUAGCACAGCCCCUGCACAAGGAUGAGACACAAAUUCACAAAGUGUUCCUUAUUUAG
Molossus molossus (Pallas's mastiff bat) is the source of this 105-nucleotide small nuclear RNA. The record is from RefSeq and is a predicted model, not a curated record. NCBI's taxonomy places the organism in Eukaryota, Metazoa, Chordata, Mammalia, Chiroptera, Molossidae.